Molecule: ribosomal RNA, 253 nt
Filed under: uncultured bacterium
Lineage: Bacteria
Description: partial 16S ribosomal RNA
Rfam family: Bacterial small subunit ribosomal RNA
Source: RNAcentral
UACAGAGGGGGCGAGCGUUGUUCGGAAUUACUGGGCGUAAAGGGCGCGUAGGCGGCCCGCUAAGUCGAACGUGAAAUCCCCAGGCUCAACCUGGGAACUGCGUCCGAUACUGGCAGGCUUGAAUCCGGGAGAGGGAUGUGGAAUUCCAGGUGUAGCGGUGAAAUGCGCAGAUAUCUGGAGGAACACCGGUGGCGAAGGCGGCAUCCUGGACCGGUAUUGACGCUGAGGCGCGAAAGCUAGGGGAGCAAACGGG